GCCUUCGUGGUGUAACGGUAGCACACUCGGCGCGUAUUCGAGAGAUCGAGGUUCGAGUCCUGGCGAGGGCA
This 71-nucleotide transfer RNA is filed under the name Stegodyphus mimosarum. It matches the Rfam family "tRNA". Rfam says of the family: Transfer RNA (tRNA) molecules are approximately 80 nucleotides in length. Their secondary structure includes four short double-helical elements and three loops (D, anti-codon, and T loops). The record is from Rfam by way of RNAcentral. Lineage: Eukaryota; Metazoa; Arthropoda; Arachnida; Araneae; Eresidae.